GACGAACGCUGGCGGCGUGCCUAAUACAUGCAAGUUGAGCGCUGAAGGUUGGUACUUGUACCAACUGGAUGAGCAGCGAACGGGUGAGUAACGCGUGGGGAAUCUGCCUUUGAGCGGGGGACAACAUUUGGAAACGAAUGCUAAUACCGCAUAAAAACUUUAAACACAAGUUUUAAGUUUGAAAGAUGCAAUCGCAUCACUCAAAGAUGAUCCCGCGUUGUAUUAGCUAGUUGGUGAGGUAAAGGCUCACCAAGGCGAUGAUACAUAGCCGACCUGAGAGGGUGAUCGGCCACAUUGGGAAUGAGACACGGCCCAAACUCCUACGGGAGGCAGCAGUAGGGAAUCUUCGGCAAUGGACGAAAGUCUGACCGAGCAACGCCGCGUGAGUGAAGAAGGUUUUCGGAUCGUAAAACUCUGUUGGUAGAGAAGAACGUUGGUGAGAGUGGAAAGCUCAUCAAGUGACGGUAACUACCCAGAAAGGGACGGCUAACUACGUG
RNAcentral lists this ribosomal RNA (497 nucleotides) under uncultured bacterium. RNAcentral's name for it is "partial 16S ribosomal RNA". It matches the Rfam family "Bacterial small subunit ribosomal RNA", at positions 28 to 507 of the family's 1533-position model. The record is from RNAcentral.